Molecule: ribosomal RNA, 1286 nt
Filed under: Staphylococcus aureus
Lineage: Bacteria; Bacillati; Bacillota; Bacilli; Caryophanales; Staphylococcaceae
Description: partial 23S ribosomal RNA
Rfam family: Bacterial large subunit ribosomal RNA
Source: RNAcentral
CACUGCCGAGAAAAGCCUCUAGAUAGAAAAUAGGUGCCCGUACCGCAAACCGACACAGGUAGUCAAGAUGAGAAUUCUAAGGUGAGCGAGCGAACUCUCGUUAAGGAACUCGGCAAAAUGACCCCGUAACUUCGGGAGAAGGGGUGCUCUUUAGGGUUAACGCCCAGAAGAGCCGCAGUGAAUAGGCCCAAGCGACUGUUUAUCAAAAACACAGGUCUCUGCUAAACCGUAAGGUGAUGUAUAGGGGCUGACGCCUGCCCGGUGCUGGAAGGUUAAGAGGAGUGGUUAGCUUCUGCGAAGCUACGAAUCGAAGCCCCAGUAAACGGCGGCCGUAACUAUAACGGUCCUAAGGUAGCGAAAUUCCUUGUCGGGUAAGUUCCGACCCGCACGAAAGGCGUAACGAUUUGGGCACUGUCUCAACGAGAGACUCGGUGAAAUCAUAGUACCUGUGAAGAUGCAGGUUACCCGCGACAGGACGGAAAGACCCCGUGGAGCUUUACUGUAGCCUGAUAUUGAAAUUCGGCACAGCUUGUACAGGAUAGGUAGGAGCCUUUGAAACGUGAGCGCUAGCUUACGUGGAGGCGCUGGUGGGAUACUACCCUAGCUGUGUUGGCUUUCUAACCCGCACCACUUAUCGUGGUGGGAGACAGUGUCAGGCGGGCAGUUUGACUGGGGCGGUCGCCUCCUAAAAGGUAACGGAGGCGCUCAAAGGUUCCCUCAGAAUGGUUGGAAAUCAUUCAUAGAGUGUAAAGGCAUAAGGGAGCUUGACUGCGAGACCUACAAGUCGAGCAGGGUCGAAAGACGGACUUAGUGAUCCGGUGGUUCCGCAUGGAAGGGCCAUCGCUCAACGGAUAAAAGCUACCCCGGGGAUAACAGGCUUAUCUCCCCCAAGAGUUCACAUCGACGGGGAGGUUUGGCACCUCGAUGUCGGCUCAUCGCAUCCUGGGGCUGUAGUCGGUCCCAAGGGUUGGGCUGUUCGCCCAUUAAAGCGGUACGCGAGCUGGGUUCAGAACGUCGUGAGACAGUUCGGUCCCUAUCCGUCGUGGGCGUAGGAAAUUUGAGAGGAGCUGUCCUUAGUACGAGAGGACCGGGAUGGACAUACCUCUGGUGUACCAGUUGUCGUGCCAACGGCAUAGCUGGGUAGCUAUGUGUGGACGGGAUAAGUGCUGAAAGCAUCUAAGCAUGAAGCCCCCCUCAAGAUGAGAUUUCCCAACUUCGGUUAUAAGAUCCCUCAAAGAUGAUGAGGUUAAUAGGUUCGAGGUGGAAGCAUGGUGACAUGUGGAGCU